UACGGAGGGGGCUAGCGUUGUUCGGAAUUACUGGGCGUAAAGCGCGCGUAGGCGGACCUGCAAGUCGGGGGUGAAAGCCCGAGGCUCAACCUCGGAACUGCCUUCGAUACUGCGGGUCUCGAGUCCGGGAGAGGUGAGUGGAAUUCCUAGUGUAGAGGUGAAAUUCGUAGAUAUUAGGAAGAACACCAGUGGCGAAGGCGGCUCACUGGCCCGGUACUGACGCUGAGGCACGAAAGCUAGGGGAGCAAACAGG
RNAcentral lists this ribosomal RNA (253 nucleotides) under uncultured bacterium. Its description in RNAcentral is "partial 16S ribosomal RNA". It matches the Rfam family "Bacterial small subunit ribosomal RNA", at positions 524 to 776 of the family's 1533-position model. The record is from RNAcentral.